Molecule: ribosomal RNA, 478 nt
Filed under: uncultured bacterium
Lineage: Bacteria
Description: partial 16S ribosomal RNA
Rfam family: Bacterial small subunit ribosomal RNA
Source: RNAcentral
GACGAACGCUGGCGGCGUGCUUAACACAUGCAAGUCGAACGGUAAGGCCCUUCGGGGUACACGAGUGGCGAACGGGUGAGUAACACGUGGGUGAUCUGCCCUGCACUUCGGGAUAAGCCUGGGAAACUGGGUCUAAUACCGGAUAGGACCACUGCCUGCAUGGGUGGGGGUGGAAAGCUUUUGCGGGGUGGGAUGGGCCCGCGGGCUAUCAGCUUGUUGGUGGGGUGAUGGCCUACCAAGGCGACGACGGGUAGCCGGCCUGAGAGGGUGGCCGGCCACAAUGGGACUGGGAUACGGCCCAGACUCCUACGGGAGGCAGCCGUGGGGAAUAUUGCACAAUGGGCGGAAGCCUGAUGCAGCGACGCCGCGUGAGGGAUGACGGCCUUCGGGUUGUAAACCUCUUUCAGCACCGACGAAGCGCAAGUGACGGUAGGUGCAGAAGAAGGACCGGCCAACUACGUGCCAGCCGCCGCCGUAA